This 23-nucleotide ribosomal RNA is filed under the name Limonium virgatum. RNAcentral's name for it is "28S ribosomal RNA". The record is from RNAcentral. Lineage: Eukaryota; Viridiplantae; Streptophyta; Magnoliopsida; Caryophyllales; Plumbaginaceae.
GACCCCAGUUUAGGCGGGACUAC